UACGUAGGGUGCGAGCGUUGUCCGGAAUUAUUGGGCGUAAAGAGCUCGUAGGCGGUGUGUCACGUCGGCCGUGAAAACCUGCAGCUUAACUGUGGCGUGCGGUCGAUACGGGCAUCACUGGAGUUCGGCAGGGGAGACUGGAAUUCCUGGUGUAGCGGUGAAAUGCGCAGAUAUCAGGAGGAACACCGAUGGCGAAGGCAGGUCUCUGGG
This 210-nucleotide ribosomal RNA is filed under the name uncultured bacterium. RNAcentral describes it as "partial 16S ribosomal RNA". It matches the Rfam family "Bacterial small subunit ribosomal RNA", at positions 524 to 733 of the family's 1533-position model. The record is from RNAcentral.